This 497-nucleotide ribosomal RNA is filed under the name uncultured bacterium. RNAcentral describes it as "partial 16S ribosomal RNA". It matches the Rfam family "Bacterial small subunit ribosomal RNA", at positions 28 to 507 of the family's 1533-position model. The record is from RNAcentral.
GAUGAACGCUGGCGGCGUGCCUAAUACAUGCAAGUCGAGCGAACGGACGAGAAGCUUGCUUCUCUGAUGUUAGCGGCGGACGGGUGAGUAACACGUGGAUAACCUACCUAUAAGACUGGGAUAACUUCGGGAAACCGGAGCUAAUACCGGAUAAUAUUUUGAACCGCAUGGUUCAAAAGUGAAAGACGGUCUUGCUGUCACUUAUAGAUGGAUCCGCGCUGCAUUAGCUAGUUGGUAAGGUAACGGCUUACCAAGGCAACGAUGCAUAGCCGACCUGCGAGGGUGAUCGGCCACACUGGAACUGAGACACGGUCCAGACUCCUACGGGAGGCAGCAGUAGGGAAUCUUCCGCAAUGGGCGAAAGCCUGACGGAGCAACGCCGCGUGAGUGAUGAAGGUCUUCGGAUCGUAAAACUCUGUUAUUAGGGAAGAACAUAUGUGUAAGUAACUGUGCACGUCUUGACGGUACCUAAUCAGAAAGCCACGGCUAACUACGUG